RNAcentral lists this ribosomal RNA (750 nucleotides) under uncultured archaeon. Its description in RNAcentral is "bacterial SSU rRNA". It matches the Rfam family "Archaeal small subunit ribosomal RNA", at positions 23 to 780 of the family's 1478-position model. The record is from RNAcentral.
CCGACUGCUAUCAGAGUGGGACUAAGCCAUGCGAGUCAACGUAGAAAUACGUGGCGAACGGCUCAGUAACACGUAGUCAACAUGCCCAGGGGACGUGGAUAACCUCGGGAAACUGAGGAUAAACCGCGAUAGGCCAUGAUUUCUGGAAUGGUUCAUGGCUGAAAUCUAUAUGGCCUCUGGAUUGGACUGCGGCCGAUCAGGCUGUUGGUGAGGUAAUGGCCCACCAAACCUGUAACCGGUACGGGCUUUGAGAGGAGGAGCCCGGAGAUGGGCACUGAGACAAGGGCCUAGGCCCUAUGGGGCGCAGCAGGCGCGAAAUCUCUGCAAUAGGCGAAAGCUUGACAGGGUUACUCUGAGUGAUCUCCGCUAAGGGGAUCUUUUGGCACCUCUAAAAAUGGUGCAGAAUAAGGGGGUGGGCAAGUCUGGUGUCAGCCGCCGCGGUAAUACCAGCACCCCGAGUGGUCGGGACGAUUAUUGGGCCUAAAGCAUCCGUAGCCGGUACUGCAAGUCUUCCGUUAAAUCCACCUGCUUAACAGUUGGGCUGCGGAGGAUACUACAGCGCUAGGAGGCGGGAGAGGCAAGCGGUACUCAGUGGGUAGGGGUAAAAUCCGCUGAUCCAUUGAAGACCACCAGUGGCGAAGGCGGCUUGCCAGAACGCGCUCGACGGUGAGGGAUGAAAGCUGGGGGAGCAAACCGGAUUAGAUACCCGGGUAGUCCCAGCUGUAAACGAUGCAGACUCGGUGAUGGGCU